RNAcentral lists this ribosomal RNA (468 nucleotides) under uncultured bacterium. RNAcentral's name for it is "partial 16S ribosomal RNA". It matches the Rfam family "Bacterial small subunit ribosomal RNA", at positions 28 to 507 of the family's 1533-position model. The record is from RNAcentral.
GACGAACGCUGGCGGCGUGCUUAACACAUGCGAGUCGAACGGAAAGGCCCUGCUUUUGUGGGGUGCUCGAGUGGCGAACGGGUGAGUAACACGUGAGUAACCUGCCCUUGACUUUGGGAUAACUUCAGGAAACUGGGGCUAAUACCGGAUAGGAGCUCCUGCUGCAUGGUGGGGGUUGGAAAGUUUCGGCGGUUGGGGAUGGACUCGCGGCUUAUGAGCUUGUUGGUGGGGUAGUGGCUUACCAAGGCUUUGACGGGUAGCCGGCCUGAGAGGGUGACCGGCCACAUUGGGACUGAGAUACGGCCCAGACUCCUACGGGAGGCAGCAGUGGGGAAUAUUGCACAAUGGGCGGAAGCCUGAUGCAGCAACGCCGCGUGCGGGAUGACGGCCUUCGGGUUGUAAACCGCUUUCGCCUGUGACGAAGCGUGAGUGACGGUAAUGGGUAAAGAAGCACCGGCUAACUACGUG